Molecule: ribosomal RNA, 325 nt
Filed under: uncultured eukaryote
Lineage: Eukaryota
Description: partial 18S ribosomal RNA
Rfam family: Eukaryotic small subunit ribosomal RNA
Source: RNAcentral
CCCUUAGAUGUCCUGGGCCGCACGCGCGCUACACUGAUGCAUGCAACGAGUAUAUAACCUUGGCCUGAAAGGCCUGGGUAAUCUUUUGAACGUGCAUCGUGAUAGGGAUAGAUUAUUGCAAUUAUUAAUCUUGAACGAGGAAUUCCUAGUAAACGCGAGUCAUCAGCUCGCAUUGAUUACGUCCCUGCCCUUUGUACACACCGCCCGUCGCUCCUACCGAUUGAAUGUUCCGGUGAGCUCUUCGGACUGCGCGGUCUGCAGUUUCUGCGUUCCGUGCGGAAAGUUGCGCAAACCUUAACAUUUAGAGGAAGGAGAAGUCGUAACA